UUUAACAAAAACAUGUCUUUUUGGGUUAAAUUUAAGGUCGGGCCUGCCCACUGAUAUUAUUUGAAGGGCCGCGGUAUUUUGACCGUGCAAAGGUAGCAUAAUCAUUAGUCUUUUAAUUGAGGGCUGGAAUGAAUGGUUUGACGAAAUAUUAACUGUCUCUUUAUGAUAAGUAGAAUUUAACUUCUAAGUCAAAAGGCUUAGAUGAAUAUAAAAGACGAGAAGACCCUAUAGAUCUUUAUAUAAUUAGUGUAUUUAUUAAUUUAGUUGUGUUAAUUAUGGUUAUGCUAUUAUAUUUUGUUGGGGUGACAUGAAGAUAAAAAUAACUCUUUAUAAUGGAAACAUUGAUUUAUGGUUGAUUGAUCCGUUAUUAACGAUUAUAAGAUAAAGUUACCUUAGGGAUAACAGCGUAAUUUUUUUUAAGAGUUCUUAUCGACAAGAAAGAUUGCGACCUCGA
RNAcentral lists this ribosomal RNA (454 nucleotides) under Montana tomini. RNAcentral describes it as "partial 16S ribosomal RNA". It matches the Rfam family "Bacterial large subunit ribosomal RNA", at positions 1803 to 2529 of the family's 2925-position model. The record is from RNAcentral. Lineage: Eukaryota; Metazoa; Arthropoda; Insecta; Orthoptera; Tettigoniidae.